CGUGGAUUGAUCUGUCUGGUUUAUUCCGAUAACGAACGAGACUCUAACCUGCUAACUAGUGGUGCGAUAGUUUCGUCGUAUCUACUUCUUAGAGGGAUAAGCGGUGUUCAACCGCAUGAGAUUGAGUAAUAACAGGUCUGUGAUGCCCUUAGAUGUUCGGGGCUGCACGCGCGCUACACUGGAAAGUGCAGCAAGCGUUAUCUUCCUUGGCCGAAAGGUCUGGGUAAUCUUUUGAAAGCUUUUCGUGUUUGGAAUAGAGGAUUGCAAUUAUUUCUCUUGAACGAGGAAUUCCCAGUAAGUAUGAGUCAUUAGCUCAUGCUGAAUACGUCCCUGCCCUUUGUAC
Molecule: ribosomal RNA, 343 nt
Filed under: Nematoda environmental sample
Lineage: Eukaryota; Metazoa; Nematoda
Description: SSU rRNA
Rfam family: Eukaryotic small subunit ribosomal RNA
Source: RNAcentral